RNAcentral lists this ribosomal RNA (474 nucleotides) under uncultured bacterium. RNAcentral describes it as "bacterial SSU rRNA". It matches the Rfam family "Bacterial small subunit ribosomal RNA", at positions 335 to 801 of the family's 1533-position model. The record is from RNAcentral.
ACUCCUACGGGAGGCAGCAGUGGGGAAUUUUGGACAAUGGGCGCAAGCCUGAUCCAGCCAUGCCGCGUGAGUGAAGAAGGCCUUCGGGUUGUAAAGCUCUUUCAGACGGAAAGAAAUCUCUCAGGAUAAUACCUUGGGAGGAUGACGGUACCGUAAGAAGAAGCACCGGCUAACUACGUGCCAGCAGCCGCGGUAAUACGUAGGGUGCGAGCGUUAAUCGGAAUUACGUGGGCGUAAAGCGUGCGCAGGCGGUAAUGUAAGACAGAUGUGAAACUCCCCGGGCUCAACCUGGGAACUGCGUUUGUGACUGCAUCACCUGAGUACGGCAGAGGAGGUGGAAUUCCGCGUGUAGCAGUGAAAUGCGUAGAUAUGCGGAGGAACACCGAUGGCGAAGGCAGCCUCCUGGGCCAGUACUGACGCUCAUGCACGAAAGGCUGGGAGCAAACAGGAUUAGAUACCCCUGGUAGACUGUCA